GACUCCUCUAGAGAGCUCCUUGCCUUCCCUUCUCACCACCAGCCUCAUCCACUAGAGGUUGCUCUUAUAUCUAAUCCACGAUUACUCUUGGCAGCACAAUCCCUUCAAACCACACAUUUUGAGUAACAGAAACCCUGAAGACAGCUAAAGGAUGUCAAGAUACUCAAGACAUCUUUUUCAUGACAAAAAUCUUAUCCAGGAGCUGAAUUCCUCCCCACUUGAAAAGUCAGAGAGCAGUUAGAGCCAGAAGAGAUCAACCUGGAGAGAGUAGAAAAUGUCAUGGAAUCCAAGGACUACCAUAGCCAAAAAUGACUCUGAUUUCAGAUGUGAGGUAAGGGGACAUAAUGGCACAGAAUAGUUGAUGCAAGGAAUAAAUAUGGCUACAAGUUCUUCACUAUUCCUUUCAUUAAGAGGAAAAUCUAAUUCCCUUCCCCUGGGAUCCAGGCUAGCUUUAGUCACUGUUUGACCAAUGGAGUGCAGUGGAUGUGAAGCUGUCAUAAGAAGACUUGUGACUUCCUCCUGUGCUUCUUGAAACACUCAUUCCUUAAACCCACCUGCCAUGCUGUGAGACAGAUGGUAGGGGAGCUUUGUGGGAAGCAAAUUAUGCCUUUGCACACAGCCUUGGCUGAGGACUCAGCCAGUAGCCAGCAGCAGCUCACUAGCCUUGUGGUAGAACUACCUUGGAAGUAGAUCCUUCAGGUUCAGUUGAGAAGCCUCUUCAGGGGAUGCUGUGUGGAGCAGAAACACUCAGUCACCCAGAAGCCCUGCCCCAAAUGCACAUUCAUGAGCAAAAUAAAUUAUGUUUCUUGAUUUAAGUUACCAAAUUUGGGGAUGGUUUGCUAUACAGCAGAAUAUAACUGAAACACAUGGCCAAAAUAUUUCUAAUUGCACAACGAUCCCUCUACAUGAUUGGAAGCUAACAGUUAAAGUUAAUACUUUCCAAAAGCCUAACAUAGCAUAUCUAAAACCAUAAAGAGAACUCAGCAUUGAAGAUGUAAGUAUGAAAUAUAUUCUACCACUCCUUCAAGAUAACUUUUGGGUUCUUGUCUCUGAGCGUAUGGGUUGAAGAAGAGAAAAAGUUGAGGAAGUGCUGGGGAUGAACUGUUGUCUGCUCCUCCCAGAAGGAAGAUCAGUUAGAAGAGGGACGCCCAGGAAGGCAAGUGUUAAGUGGUCAAAGUAAAGGCGGACACAUCUAAAACAAAUCUCUGCAGGUCAAGUGAAAUGUCAUUACUGAAUAAGUUUCCAGACUUCUCUGCGAGGGAUACUUACAGAGAAAUGUUUUAUCUUAAAUACCAACUCAAAUGUCACAGGAAUUCCUAAUGAAGUUCGAUAAAAGAAAGUAUUUUUUUCCUGUAUAACUAAAAUGAAAAUAUCUCCAGGAUAUCAAUGAGAUGAGGACACACCAAGAAUGUAGCUAAUAGAUAUUGAAAGAAUGACUUAAUUGUCCUGGCAAAGUUAUUCACGAUGUUUUGGUGCUUGACAUCAUCACAGUUCUUUGUUUACUGGGUUGUGUUUGAUGAAAGGAUAAAAAUUAUUUUAGAAACAGAAGUGCUCAAGAGAACAAGAAACUAGCAUAAUUUGGAACACAUGGAAGAAUAUCAGAAAAUAGUCUGGAGCAAAUUUAAGAGUUUGUCAUGUGAAAAAAUAAUUCUCAAUUCUCAAUAUAAUGCCAUUAUAAGAAUCAAGUCAUAAAGAAUUAAAGAGUUCAGAAGUGCCUUAACUGUUUGUUUUACUAUUUGAUGAAGAAACGUCUCUAAGACAGUCAAUCUAGCACACGGAGGCCAAAGCUUGUUAAAGAUACAUGAUACACAGCAGAGCAGGGGCAUUUGCAAUAUGUUUGCGUAUGAAGGCAGACAUCCUGUGAGCAGUUGGUAAAUAUUAAUGAGAUUGAAAUAUAUGCUUCUAAUACUGACAUGGACAGUUUCUCAUCAGUGGAAUGCUUUGAGAAACUUCACCGAGUAGAGUCCUCAUAGGAAAUUCCCAUAGCAUUGGACAGAUAAGAAU
This 2004-nucleotide long non-coding RNA is filed under the name Equus asinus (donkey). RNAcentral's name for it is "lncRNA (ENSEASG00005029316.1)". Lineage: Eukaryota; Metazoa; Chordata; Mammalia; Perissodactyla; Equidae. The record is from RNAcentral.